AGUGAACGCUGGCGGUAGGCCUAACACAUGCAAGUCGAACGGCAGCACAGUAAGAGCUUGCUCUUACGGGUGGCGAGUGGCGGACGGGUGAGGAAUACAUCGGAAUCUACUUUUUCGUGGGGGAUAACGUAGGGAAACUUACGCUAAUACCGCAUACGACCUACGGGUGAAAGCAGGGGAUCUUCGGACCUUGCGCGAUUGAAUGAGCCGAUGUCGGAUUAGCUAGUUGGCGGGGUAAAGGCCCACCAAGGCGACGAUCCGUAGCUGGUCUGAGAGGAUGAGCAGCCACACUGGAACUGAGACACGGUCCAGACUCCUACGGGAGGCAGCAGUGGGGAAUAUUGGACAAUGGGCGCAAGCCUGAUCCGGCCAUACCGCGUGGGUGAAGAAGGCCUUCGGGUUGUAAAGCCCUUUUGUUGGGAAAGAAAAGCAGCAGGUUAAUACCCCGCUGUUCUGACGGUACCCAAAGAAUAAGCACCGGCUAACUUCGUG
This 492-nucleotide ribosomal RNA is filed under the name uncultured bacterium. RNAcentral describes it as "partial 16S ribosomal RNA". It matches the Rfam family "Bacterial small subunit ribosomal RNA", at positions 29 to 507 of the family's 1533-position model. The record is from RNAcentral.